RNAcentral lists this ribosomal RNA (474 nucleotides) under uncultured bacterium. RNAcentral describes it as "bacterial SSU rRNA". It matches the Rfam family "Bacterial small subunit ribosomal RNA", at positions 29 to 519 of the family's 1533-position model. The record is from RNAcentral.
AACGAACGCUGGCGGCAGGCUUAACACAUGCAAGUCGAACGGGUGUAGCAAUACAUCAGUGGCAGACGGGUGAGUAACACGUGGGAACCUUCCUAGAGGUACGGAACAACUCAGGGAAACUUGAGCUAAUACCGUAUACGCUCUUGCGAGGAAAGAUUUAUCGCCUUUAGACGGGCCCGCGUCGGAUUAGCUAGUUGGUGGGGUAACGGCCUACCAAGGCGACGAUCCGUAGCUGGUCUGAGAGGAUGAUCAGCCACACUGGAACUGAGACACGGUCCAGACUCCUACGGGAGGCAGCAGUAGGGAAUAUUGGACAAUGGGCGCAAGCCUGAUCCAGCCAUGCCGCGUGAGUGAAGAAGGCCCUCGGGUUGUAAAGGCUCUUUUGUCCGGAAAGAAAAGACGCCGGGUUAAUACCCUGGUGUCCUGACGGUACCGGAAGAAUAAGCACCGGCUAACUUCGUGCCAGCAGCCGCG